Molecule: ribosomal RNA, 1406 nt
Filed under: Streptococcus lutetiensis
Lineage: Bacteria; Bacillati; Bacillota; Bacilli; Lactobacillales; Streptococcaceae
Description: bacterial SSU rRNA
Rfam family: Bacterial small subunit ribosomal RNA
Source: RNAcentral
GCAGUAGAACGCUGAAGAGAGGAGCUUGCUCUUCUUGGAUGAGUUGCGAACGGGUGAGUAACGCGUAGGUAACCUGCCUUGUAGCGGGGGAUAACUAUUGGAAACGAUAGCUAAUACCGCAUAACAAUGGAUGACACAUGUCAUUUAUUUGAAAGGGGCAAUUGCUCCACUACAAGAUGGACCUGCGUUGUAUUAGCUAGUAGGUGAGGUAAUGGCUCACCUAGGCGACGAUACAUAGCCGACCUGAGAGGGUGAUCGGCCACACUGGGACUGAGACACGGCCCAGACUCCUACGGGAGGCAGCAGUAGGGAAUCUUCGGCAAUGGGGGCAACCCUGACCGAGCAACGCCGCGUGAGUGAAGAAGGUUUUCGGAUCGUAAAGCUCUGUUGUAAGUCAAGAACGGGUGUGAGAGUGGAAAGUUCACACUGUGACGGUAGCUUACCAGAAAGGGACGGCUAACUACGUGCCAGCAGCCGCGGUAAUACGUAGGUCCCGAGCGUUGUCCGGAUUUAUUGGGCGUAAAGCGAGCGCAGGCGGUUUGAUAAGUCUGAAGUUAAAGGCUGUGGCUCAACCAUAGUUCGCUUUGGAAACUGUCAAACUUGAGUGCAGAAGGGGAGAGUGGAAUUCCAUGUGUAGCGGUGAAAUGCGUAGAUAUAUGGAGGAACACCGGUGGCGAAAGCGGCUCUCUGGUCUGUAACUGACGCUGAGGCUCGAAAGCGUGGGGAGCGAACAGGAUUAGAUACCCUGGUAGUCCACGCCGUAAACGAUGAGUGCUAGGUGUUGGAUCCUUUCCGGGAUUCAGUGCCGCAGCUAACGCAUUAAGCACUCCGCCUGGGGAGUACGACCGCAAGGUUGAAACUCAAAGGAAUUGACGGGGGCCCGCACAAGCGGUGGAGCAUGUGGUUUAAUUCGAAGCAACGCGAAGAACCUUACCAGGUCUUGACAUCCCGAUGCUAUUUCUAGAGAUAGAAAGUUACUUCGGUACAUCGGUGACAGGUGGUGCAUGGUUGUCGUCAGCUCGUGUCGUGAGAUGUUGGGUUAAGUCCCGCAACGAGCGCAACCCCUAUUGUUAGUUGCCAUCAUUCAGUUGGGCACUCUAGCGAGACUGCCGGUAAUAAACCGGAGGAAGGUGGGGAUGACGUCAAAUCAUCAUGCCCCUUAUGACCUGGGCUACACACGUGCUACAAUGGUUGGUACAACGAGUUGCGAGUCGGUGACGGCGAGCUAAUCUCUUAAAGCCAAUCUCAGUUCGGAUUGUAGGCUGCAACUCGCCUACAUGAAGUCGGAAUCGCUAGUAAUCGCGGAUCAGCACGCCGCGGUGAAUACGUUCCCGGGCCUUGUACACACCGCCCGUCACACCACGAGAGUUUGUAACACCCGAAGUCGGUGAGGUAACCUUUGAGCC